Molecule: ribosomal RNA, 492 nt
Filed under: uncultured bacterium
Lineage: Bacteria
Description: partial 16S ribosomal RNA
Rfam family: Bacterial small subunit ribosomal RNA
Source: RNAcentral
AGUGAACGCUGGCGGUAGGCCUAACACAUGCAAGUCGAACGGCAGCACAGUAAGAGCUUGCUCUUACGGGUGGCGAGUGGCGGACGGGUGAGGAAUACAUCGGAAUCUACUUUUUCGUGGGGGAUAACGUAGGGAAACUUACGCUAAUACCGCAUACGACCUACGGGUGAAAGCAGGGGAUCUUCGGACCUUGCGCGAUUGAAUGAGCCGAUGUCGGAUUAGCUAGUUGGCGGGGUAAAGGCCCACCAAGGCGACGAUCCGUAGCUGGUCUGAGAGGAUGAUCAGCCACACUGGAACUGAGCCACGGUCCAGACUCCUACGGGAGGCAGCAGUGGGGAAUAUUGGACAAUGGGCGCAAGCCUGAUCCAGCCAUACCGCGUGGGUGAAGAAGGCCUUCGGGUUGUAAAGCCCUUUUGUUGGGGAAGAAAAGCAGCAGGUUAAUACCCCGCUGUUCUGACGGUACCCAAAGAAUAAGCACCGGCUAACUUCGUG